CCUGUAUACUUAUCUGGAUAGUACUCACAUUACAUGCUUUGAACACUAACACAGGUCUUCUCUUCGUUAACUUUGCAUACCAGUGAUGUAAUCUUCUAACCUCAUCUUAUGGACACACUUAAUGGCCUCACACAGUCAUUCCCUUCCUUUAACCUUGUUAUGGGCCUCUGGCGCAGAUUAAACUUUGAACUCGUAAGCUGUUUGUUGAG
Non-coding RNA from Pelobates cultripes (western spadefoot toad), 209 nucleotides. The record is from the annotation of a GenBank genome assembly. Lineage: Eukaryota; Metazoa; Chordata; Amphibia; Anura; Pelobatidae.